Molecule: unclassified non-coding RNA, 1035 nt
Filed under: Hevea brasiliensis (rubber tree)
Lineage: Eukaryota; Viridiplantae; Streptophyta; Magnoliopsida; Malpighiales; Euphorbiaceae
Source: RNAcentral
AACUAGGCCUACAUUCAAAGGAUACAAGAAAAAUAACAUAGGGCUAAAACAAAAAGAAGCCAUUAAAGCUCAAUCUUCAAGUUUCUUCAUAAUCCAUUCUUCCAGAAUGUCCAUCUAUCUCCUUAGAGGAAGCUAGAAGCUGUCAAACCUUGCAGAAAACUGAGGUCAUUUGUGUACUUUGGCUGUGCAUAGUCAAAGGAAUUCAUCAAGAAUCAAGUUCAUCAGAAAUGGAAGGAUGAAGAAUCAUAUCUGUACUUAUUCCUGAUAUUGUACUGCUCGAACUUCGGCUCGUUAUAAUCCAUCCUCAUCUCUGCAGGUUUUGGUUCAGCCCCGACUACGCCUGUUAAGAUAUCUGAUCCUUUCUCUUUCUGUCGAUGUCUUGAUCUAUCCUUCUGGCCCUUGGACCGGCUAUGGGAGGAAGAAACCAGGCCUGUCCCAUAAAACUCGGCAUACUCUUGUCCCGAGUGACCAUGCUUGUUCAACAGAGAUGGAUUCUUGAAACUACUUGAUUUCAUUUUUGGUGGCUUCAUUUCAUCAUGUUUAAUUGAGGCAUGCUUGGUUUCAGAGAGAGGAGUGAUAGUUCUCUGUUUCAAGGACACAUUGGUCUUGAUUUCAUCUUCUGGCAUCUUGAGAUUAUCUUUCAAAGGUGUCAGACCUUUCCCCUGGUUAUCUUCUGAUCUAAAGUAAGGAGGAAGAAAGGAUUUGAGGUUGCCAGGAAACAAUUCGAUUGCUUGCUUGCAAAGUUCAGCAAUCACCUGUCCGAAAGACUCCCACCAUGUUUCUUCUUUUAUGGUACUUACAAGCUGAGUUUGUUUUCCCUUGCUCAGUUCUUUAGUUUCAGUCUCCAAAUGUUCACUUUGCACCAUAAAAGAGAAGAAUGACAGCCUGAAUCCAUGUUGAAGCAUAUAUGUAAAAUAUCCUAUUAGGAGAGCGCCAAUGAACAUAGCAACAUCUGAGGUAGAAACUGAACCAUAUUGGUAAUCGCAAUCCUCCUUGUUAAGAGAUAUUUGGCGAAGUGCAGCAUUUCCUCUAUCA